GGAUAGCUCAGACCAUAGAGCAUGAGACUCUUAAUCUCAGGUUUGUGGGUUUGAGCCUCACGUUGGGCA
Podarcis lilfordi (Lilford's wall lizard) is the source of this 69-nucleotide non-coding RNA. The record is from the annotation of a GenBank genome assembly. Lineage: Eukaryota; Metazoa; Chordata; Lepidosauria; Squamata; Lacertidae.